Molecule: unclassified non-coding RNA, 303 nt
Filed under: plant metagenome
Description: partial contains small subunit ribosomal RNA, internal transcribed spacer 1, and 5.8S ribosomal RNA
Source: RNAcentral
UUUCCGUAGGUGAACCUGCGGAAGGAUCAUUAUUGAAUGAACUUGACGUGGUUGAGCUGGCCCUUUCGAGGGCAUGUGCACGCUCGUCAUCUUUAUCUCUCCACCUGUGCACACUUUGUAGACUUGGAUAGUACUUUCCGAGGUAACUCGGUUGGGAGGACUGCUGUGUGUUUUUUAUGCCAGCUUUCCUUGCAUUGUCCAGGCCUAUGUUUUUCAUAUGCCCAAAAAAUGUAACAGAAUGUAUUAUUGGGCCUUGUGCCUAUAAACUAUAUACAACUUUCAGCAACGGAUCUCUUGGCUCUC